This 21-nucleotide microRNA is filed under the name Oryza sativa (Asian cultivated rice). RNAcentral describes it as "osa-miR2918". Lineage: Eukaryota; Viridiplantae; Streptophyta; Magnoliopsida; Poales; Poaceae. The record is from miRBase by way of RNAcentral.
AUCCGUGUUGUCUGCGCUUUA